UACGGAGGGUGCAAGCGUUAUCCGGAUUCACUGGGUUUAAAGGGUGCGUAGGUGGGUUGGUAAGUCAGUGGUGAAAUCCCCGAGCUUAACUUGGGAACUGCCAUUGAUACUAUCAGUCUUGAAUAUUGUGGAGGUCAGCGGAAUAUGUCAUGUAGCGGUGAAAUGCUUAGAUAUGACAUAGAACACCAAUUGCGAAGGCAGCUGGCUACGCAUAUAUUGACACUGAGGCACGAAAGCGUGGGGAGCGAACAGG
RNAcentral lists this ribosomal RNA (253 nucleotides) under uncultured bacterium. RNAcentral describes it as "partial 16S ribosomal RNA". It matches the Rfam family "Bacterial small subunit ribosomal RNA", at positions 524 to 776 of the family's 1533-position model. The record is from RNAcentral.